Molecule: unclassified non-coding RNA, 1924 nt
Filed under: Hevea brasiliensis (rubber tree)
Lineage: Eukaryota; Viridiplantae; Streptophyta; Magnoliopsida; Malpighiales; Euphorbiaceae
Source: RNAcentral
GUACACUGGGCAGAACAGGGUUUUCCUUUCUUUUCCCCUGUUUCCGCUCCUAUCCAAAAAACGAGCUUAACUAGGUACAAGCUCGGAUAAACACCUGUCUUUUCAGUCAAUGAUCUAUGUCAAUACGGGUUACAAGUUACGCAAAUGGAUUACACUUGCUAAAUUUCAGAAUGUUGAAUGGAGUUAAUGACGAAAAUUAAUUACUUGUUAAAGUGCAACUAAUUAGCCAAUGGAGAAUAAAAAUACAUUCCAUAAUAUAGAGAGUGCCUUACAUUUUGACCAGGAAAGCUGUACUCUUACGAUUUCCUCGGCCUUCCCCUUUUACCUGUCGAUACUUUCACUUCAGGUGGGGAGCUUUUGUUUGCUGCUGGAGACCGACCCCUUCCUCGACCUGCGCCCUUUUUAGCAGCUGUAGCUUUGCCAGCAGCCUUUCCUCGACCCCUGCCGGAAGACUUGGCCCGCCCAUUCGAUUGUUCCUCAUAGUCAUCACUUUCAUCAUCACUAUUUUCCUCUUCCUCAUCUUCAGAUUCAGAUGCAUCUUUUGACUUCUUCCGUUUAUUUGACUUUGCAGGCGCCUUCGCAGAUGCCUUUUUGGUAGUCUUUUUAGAAGCUGGAGAUUCACUCACAGGUUCUGCCCCCACUUCCUCAGAAGCCUUGCCAUCAUAUACAUCAAGCUGCUCAAGUCGAUCCUCAACAUUUGUCCUAUCAAUAACAACCAUGGAGUGGGCAAAUCCACAAGCAACACUGAUAACAUGCAUGCCAUCUAAAAUGUCCACCUUCUUAGGAACUGCAGAAGAUUUCUGUCCAUGUGGUCCAUAACCCAGCUCCCCACACUGUGCAAGGCCCCAACUUAUGCAAGAGGAAUCAGCACCAACAAAGUGGUGCAUAUAGCCAGAAUCCAUACAUCGGAGGUUCCACCCACUCAAAUCCAGAAGAGGUUUGGGAUACAUCGAAUCAUCUCCUGUGCUCUUAAUUUUUCCCCACAUGUAAAGCUGCCCUCCUCCGGCAGUACAUGAUGAGCUGGCAGAACCUGCUGAAACUAUUGCAUCUGGAGGCAAGACAUUCUGCCGUGUAAAAACAUCAACUCGUCGAGGAGCAAACUCGUCCUUCUGUUCUCGAUGACCAAGCCUCCCAUAACCGCCAAAUCCCCACGUGUAAACAUAUCCACUCUUAUCCACUGCAACUGUGUGGUUUGUUCCACAAGCAACUUUGACUAUAGUCUCUCCAGAAAAGGCAGCUAUAGGUCUAGGUCUGGGUUGAGCUUCAUAAGCUAGCCUUACAGAGCUAUCUUUGGUAUUAUACUCGUUGUCAGUAGCAUGACCAAGCUGACCAUACUGAGGCAAACCAGCAGUUAAUAUAGAAGCUCCUUCAACUGAGGUUAGCCACACAGUAAAGUCAGCCCCACAAGCUACAGAGUUGACUUCAGUGACGGCACACCGGACUGGAGAUAAUUCAGUUUCAUUUUUUACAGAGCCUAUACCGAGCUGCCCAUGUUUAUUCCAACCAAAAGCAAAGGACUGUCCGUCAUCUGUAACUACCACUGUGUGGUUCUUUCCAGCUGCAGCUCUAAUAAUUUUGUACUUAGAUAGUUCUGAAACAACCGUUGGUCUAUCACGUGUUAUGUUAUCUCCAUGACCAAGCUGCCCUUUCUCAUUCCUUCCCCAUGUAUAACAACGACCUUCAGUAUCUAGCGCUACACAGUGACAAGAAGCGCAACCAGCAGCAACAAAACAAAUGUCGACACCAACAAGCGGACGAAGCCUCGUCGGCGACACCAAAUUCCCCUCCGUCAAACCUUUCCGGCGACCAACAGAAUCCCAGCAAGUACUUCCACAAAACAACAACUCCCCACCUUUCACCACCACCACUUCCGACAUCUCCGGCGAACUCAACGGUCAAAAAAUUCAAAAAAAAAGUUUUUAAA